This 350-nucleotide ribosomal RNA is filed under the name Parasiro coiffaiti. RNAcentral's name for it is "eukaryotic LSU rRNA". It matches the Rfam family "Eukaryotic large subunit ribosomal RNA", at positions 645 to 965 of the family's 3401-position model. Lineage: Eukaryota; Metazoa; Arthropoda; Arachnida; Opiliones; Parasironidae. The record is from RNAcentral.
UGACCCGUCUUGAAACACGGACCAAGGAGUCUAACAUGUGCGCUAGUCAUUGGGUCUUGUUUAGGCCCAAAGGCGGAAUGAAAGUGAAGGCCGAUUCGGUCGGCUGCGUUGGGAUCCCGUCCCCUUGUGGGGCGGGCGCACCAACGGCCCGUCCCGAUCGCCGCGUCGAUGGGGCGGAGUGAGAGCGUACACGUUGGGACCCGAAAGAUGGUGAACUAUGCCUGGGCAGGACGAAGCCAGAGGAAACUCUGGUGGAGGUCCGCAGCGAUUCUGACGUGCAAAUCGAUCGUCAGACCUGGGUAUAGGGGCGAAAGACUAAUCGAACCAUCUAGUAGCUGGUUCCUUCCGAA